AGGACGAACGCUGGCGGUGUGCUUCACACAUGCAAGUCGAACGGAGUAGCAAUACUCAGUGGCGGACGGGUGAGUAACACGUGGGAAUCUACCAUAGAGUGGGGAAUAACUGGCCGAAAGGCUAGCUAAUACCGCAUAUGCCGAAAGGUAAAAGGAGCAAUUCGCUUUAUGAUGAGCCCGCGUCCGAUUAGCUAGUUGGUAAGGUAAAAGCUUACCAAGGCGACGAUCGGUAGCUGGUCUGAGAGGAUGAUCAGCCACAAUGGAACUGAGACACGGUCCAUACUCCUACGGGAGGCAGCAGUGGGGAAUUUUACGCAAUGGGCGAAAGCCUGACGUAGCGACACCGCGUGAGCGAAGAGCCUUUUGGGGUGUAAAGCUCUGUCAACAGGGACGAAAAAAAUGACGGUACCUGUGGAGGAAGCAUCGGCUAACUACGUGCCAGCAGCCGC
RNAcentral lists this ribosomal RNA (449 nucleotides) under uncultured bacterium. RNAcentral's name for it is "SSU rRNA". It matches the Rfam family "Bacterial small subunit ribosomal RNA", at positions 26 to 518 of the family's 1533-position model. The record is from RNAcentral.